AAAUUUUUGAGAUAAAGACUUAAUUGAGUUGAGUUGUAUUUUUGUAAAUUUAUAGAAAUUCCAAUCUUUCUUUUACAACCUAAGAAAUUCUAAAUUAACAAGAAGAAAUAAACUACAUCUGUAUCUGUCCACUCCUAAUUAGUUGAAAUCCUUUAUUUGAUUGACUUCUAAGAUUGGAUAUGCCAUGUAAUUACAGAAUGUACAAUAGAAUAACAUAAAGAUCAUAUUCCCCAAGCAUUCUUCUAGCAUCUCCCAAUUUUUGCUUGAUGUAAGUGUGACUACCCAACUCAUUAUGGCCUCAGAAGUUUUGGACCUGUAUUAGAGGCCAUCCAAGAGGUGAUCACUUCAACAAGCCGAUCUAUGUCCUUAGAUGCUUCAGCACGAAGGAUCCUUGAAUCUCCACCUAUUGUGUUGCCUACUUCCUUAGCAACGGUCUCCCAUGGUGUUCCCACGGUCAGAUUUGCCAAAAACUCACUUCCCCGAUUUACUGCAUCUGCCAUUGCGGGUGGGACAUCUGGGAGAACCUGCAAGAUAUAUAAGUAUAAAGGAUAUGUCAUUCGACUUGGCGAUUAUAGUGAUUUCACUUGGUUCAUUAUUACCUGUUGCAAAGGAAGCCCAUGAUCUCCAGGCAUCAAGCGAAUUGACAUGUCUAGCAUUGAACUAAUAGCUGAUUCUGAACUAAGCAACUGAGCUAAGGUUGAAGUUUCAUCAAUUGCAUCAUCCUUGAACUUCACCAGAAGAUUUCUAGAAAUGCCAUAGUAUGACUUCACCUGUAGAAAUACAAAACAUAGAUGAUUAGGUCUAUAUUAAAAACCUGAAACAAUGUUCCGAAAGUACACGUUGAAUUUUGCAGAAGAGAGUUGCAAUUGACUGCAGCAAUUUUCAGUCAUUUUAGAAAAUAAUUCGCUAUUAAGAUUUAAGAACCUUCUAAUCUGCCAUCAUAUCAUGCAGCUACAUCACAAAAGAUUCACAACAUAAGUUGCCACAGCUGUGAUCUACUACAUAUAUGCUAAAAUCAUGAAACCAAAACAUGAUUGUACCAUCAUUAAAAAUCAGAAUGGAUAAAUCUUCAAUUAUUGUGGCCCAAGAAAGGUUUCAUAAUGCAACAGCAAUUCCACAAUAUGAUUUUAAUUUGUUCUUGGAACUUUUACAUACAAGUCGGCGGGUUUCUUCAGGUUUUGGAGAAAAAUCUUCUCUUCCCUUGACUAAGUCCAUGUACAAUGGAGGCAGCUGCUCCACCAAAGGAAGAACUUGCCUCAUAAUGGGUGGGCUUAGGUUCUCUAGUUGCUUCAAAGUCAUCUCUGCCUGCAAGAACUGUAAGUAAUUAAAAACAACUGUAAAGAUUAGUUGUAAAUCUGUCUGCAAGAAUUUGUUCAAGAUAAAGAUCUGUCUGUUCAACUCAAGUACGAGGAUGUCUACACAUUUUAUAAUAUCAUUUGGCCUUCUGUUAAAAUUUGAAUGAAAUUGCCUAUCAAUGUCGAUAUGUAGAUAUCUUAUCCAAAAUAAGCACAAGAAAUGGAGUCAACUGAUUCACUUGCUUGUCAUUUCUGUUCUGAAAUUUGGAACAUUUUCUGAUGCACUAAUGUUUUUAAGCAUUUUGAGAAUUUGACUGAAGUUCUGACUUUAUUUGGUUAAGAGCCCUAAAAUAUACGUAUGUAUUGAGAAACACACAGUUGACUGAUGUAUCUAUGUAUUGACAAACACACCAUUGGCUGACAAAAGACUUAAAAUGUCCAGGUGAGUUGUCUAAGUGAGAACUGCACCAAACUUUGUAGAGGGGAAACAUGAAGGAAAACGAGACUACCUGAGUCAUGAAGUGGAAAUUGUAGAACAAAAUGGGUGGACACAAGGAGUACCAGACCAAUUCAGUGUAAAGUAUACGAGACACAUGAUGAGUUCCUUGGAUGGCCUUAUCUCAAACAAAUGAACCAGCUAUCUCAUGAAUUUCCCGAUGUUUAAAUUCUCCUACUUAUAGAUAAUAUUGCAUUCUUCAACGGUUAAAAAAGAAAUGUAGACUGCACACUGCACGGAGAAAAUCACUGACUUAGAAUCUCACCCCAAGGCGGACUGUUGGUGAUGAUGCAAUUUGUGAUAGAAAUGGUCCAAUGCUUUGGGCCACAGGAACAAGAACAGGCGAGAACAAAGGGAUAGCUAAGCUUGCCUCCUUGUUGUUAAAAGCCAUUAACACAUUCCCACUUCUUUGCACAGCAUAUCGUGAUCCAAUCAAAAGGUGAAUAACAGAACCCAAUGAGUGGCCAAUGCCAAAAGUAGGAAGAUCUUCUGUCAUUUCUUUUAAAAAACGAAAACACCUAUCAAAUUUAAACUGCACUUCAUCCGCAAUGAAGAAAUGAUCAAAGCCACUAGCAUAUGGUGUGGCAAUCACCAAAAUACCCUUUUCUGCAAGGCGCUCAAGAAACAAACGGUAGGUAAGCUGUGGAGCUGCUCCAACAAAUAUACCUCCAACAAAAUGAACGGCUGACUUGGGUUGUGAGCUUCUUGGUUUGAGAACCCAUGCACCCUCGACUUCAAUCCAGUCUUUUGAACCACCCCAAGCAUCUUGGGAUUGCCUCACAGUUUCUGUAAUUAAUCUCUCAAUCUGACCAUAAAGUUGAAUUCCUGUAGAAGAUGAUUGAUUGGGUUUCGUAUCGUCAUAGUUACAAUAGAUUCCGGAGGAGCGGCUACGGCGGGGACGGGUUGUGACUGAGAAAUUACAAAGGCGGCGGUCAUACAGAUGACAGGGAUGAAGAGAAUGAUAAUCGGAUAAGGCGGAGGAGUCAUCCCCAACAACUAAUUCAAUAUCGCCAUCACUCCUCCGCCUU
This 2819-nucleotide unclassified non-coding RNA is filed under the name Hevea brasiliensis (rubber tree). The record is from RNAcentral. Lineage: Eukaryota; Viridiplantae; Streptophyta; Magnoliopsida; Malpighiales; Euphorbiaceae.